Molecule: long non-coding RNA, 1594 nt
Organism: Myotis daubentonii (Daubenton's bat)
Lineage: Eukaryota; Metazoa; Chordata; Mammalia; Chiroptera; Vespertilionidae
Exons: 3
Source: RefSeq, a predicted model, not a curated record
UCACCGGCAGGGGAAAGUCGAGCGUUCGAGGCGGAUUUUAUUGUUAUUCUCCCGCUCCCUCCGCCCGCGUCUUUUCCAGUUUGGGAAGCCACGGUCUAGAGCUGUCAAGCGACCUGUCCAGCCUGCUAAUGUAGUUCUCAAACUUUACUGUCCGUCGAGGAUGUCGGGAGCCCUCAUUUGAGAAAUGCAGAUUCAAGUAUGUGGAGCCCACGAACGGGCAUGUUAAAUCAGCAGCUGUGAUGCUCAAGUGGCCACUCAGGAAGCACCUCCCUACGGGCUUCUCUCACGGAGAGUUUGGGCUUCCUCACAACAUGGCGACCUCAGGACAGCAGACUACAGCGCUUCCACGGGAGCUGAAGACUUCCAGGGCAAGUAUUCUGGCUAAGAAGCUGGAAGCUGCACGGCGUUCUGCGAUCUGGCCUCAGAAGGCAGAGAACUCAAGGACAUCACGCUCACAAUCUUCUGAGGAACUGUUGUGCUGCAAAGGGAAGGAACUCAGCAUUGCUGGAUUCCAAGGAAGAGUGGAUUGCAAUUCAUUGUGCAGAGGAGACUUUCACCAGUGAGUGCUGUCCAGCCGGGGCUGGGGUGAGCCCCCCGUCAUGGAGGAGUGCAAGUAUCGGCAAGGGAUAUUUACGAAAGGACGCAUCCCCUGACACUCCCGUGGGGACACUACUGCAUGGCUUCUCAGCCUCCCGUCUCUGAGAAGCUCUGUCUUUGCGAUUGUUUGAAAUGGAAUGCUAGGAGUUGAGAAAGCAAUGAAAGAAAUCCACUGAAGUGAGGACCAAGCUAUAAAAAAAAUCUUUAUUUCAUGUACCAGGAUUUUUUUCUUUUUUUAGUUUUCUGCUUUUUAAAAUUUUUUUCUGUUAACAGUCUGGAAAAAAAAAGGACCCACCAAGAAAAUAAAAUGGAGGUUGGUUUCUUGAACUGGUUUGAGCUGGACAUGAGCAAUCAUCCACCCUGGCAAGCAGUGCCCUUGCCAUCGCAGUCCUGGCUUCUUCCCUCUGGGCCCCCAGCCCUUUCUCAGCCCAGCUGGGUUCACCUACACCCAAUGGCCUUCUUCCAGAGGACCCAGGACCCCGGCCUCCCGGCCCGGAGAGAAGCACUGAUUUCCGUCCCGGACACUCGGCCACAACAGAUUGGGGCCAGCUGUCCGUUCCGGACAGCGCCGGCUCGUUUGUUGUCGUUGGUGGGCCCCACUCUUCUCUCCAGUCCUCGAGCCUUUCCGGUGUGGAAUCUGGUGGGGUGGAGGGCCAGGCUGGAGUGGGGAGGGAGUGGUCGUGAUUUCUGCCCAGACUGGAAACACUGGGUGGUCGCCACACCUGGUACUGGCCCCCAUUGCUCUGCCCUGGGGCCUGGGGGCCUCAUGGGAACUGCUGGGUUGGGCCGGCAGAUCUGCCUUGUGGUUCAGGCUGAAUUUAGGGUUCCAGAUGCUGCUGACCUAAGAACAGAGCUUUCCUUUCCCAGACAAAAGAUGGGAAGGGGAGCUGGGAGUGUGGAAACCCCAAAAGCCUUGCUAGCCACUCCCCUCACCUUAAGAAACUUCAGGCCAGGGCAGUGUCAAGAAAGAGGCAAACCGAGACAUGCAGAUGGGCAC